CGGUACGUACUGGCAUUGUUGGUUUCUCCCUUCUGACGAACCAUGAUGUCAUUUAUUUGGUGUUGUGGGGAAUCAGGACUGUUACUUUGAAAAAAUUAGAGUGUUUAAAGCAGGCUCACGCUUGAAUACAUUAGCAUGGAAUAAUGAAAUAAGACGUUUGAUUCUAUUUUGUUGGUUUCUAGGAUCGACGUAAUGAUUAAUAGGGAUAGUUGGGGGCAUUAGUAUUCAAUUGUCAGAGGUGAAAUUCUUGGAUUUAUUGAAGACUAACUACUGCGAAAGCAUUUGCCAAGGAUGUUUUCAUUAAUCAAGAACGAAAGUUAGGGGAUCGAAGACGAUCAGAUACCGUCGUAGUCUUAACCAUAAACUAUGCCGACUAGGGAUCGGAUGAUGUUAAUUUUUUAAUGACUCAUUCGGCGCCUUACG
Molecule: ribosomal RNA, 423 nt
Filed under: uncultured Glomeromycotina
Lineage: Eukaryota; Fungi; Glomeromycota
Description: SSU rRNA
Rfam family: Eukaryotic small subunit ribosomal RNA
Source: RNAcentral